AGAGAAUGUCCGUUUCUCGGAGCGCAGCACAGCCUGUCCCAUCGAGAAGCCUCGGGUGGACAUGGACUCCAUGGAAGCCUGAGCUGCCAGGGGCUUCCCUGGGGCAGCACUGCUUCGCGUAGGCUCACGAGAAACUUCCAGGGUUCCUGGGAAAUGAAUGAAAAUAAACAAACAAAUUCCUUGCAUUCAACGCAGCGUAAGAAAAAUCACAUCCUGUUCCCCAGUAGCUGAGGAAAGCCGGCUCACGAGAGUAUACAGGGAGAAGAGGCCAGCAUUGUGUGGCUGCCAGCAAAGCUCACUUGUAUGUCAAAUGCAGCGCUUUUCUUAGCCCAUUAUGUAUUUUUUUUUUCUUGAACACUCCUGUGUCUACUGGGAUCUCCUGUUUUUAUUGUUUUGGGAUGAGAUUUUAAAAACACCAUUUAAUGUAGCCUGUGUGCUCUUGUUCAUUAAACCAAAAAGAAACCCU
Molecule: long non-coding RNA, 466 nt
Filed under: Homo sapiens (human)
Lineage: Eukaryota; Metazoa; Chordata; Mammalia; Primates; Hominidae
Description: HSALNT0375296
Source: RNAcentral